AGAUGAUCCUUCCGGKGGAUCCGGCGGUGCAAGUCCCCCUUGAGAGGUGCACUUUGCCCAGAGCGGGUGUUAGGCCCGUACCGCCGCCGGAUCUCUUUCGGAAUCGUCAUUCUCCCAGGAGUCGGGUUGCUUGGGAGUGCAGCCCAAAGUGGGUGGUAAACUCCAUCUAAAGCUAAAUAAAACCGAGAGACCGAUAGCAAACAAGUACCAUGAGGGAAAGUUGAAAAGCACUUUGAAGAGAGAGUUCAAGAGUACGUGAAACCGUUCGGAGGUAAACGGGUGGGACUUCGAAGUCCUGGGUAAUCAUGGAUUCAGCCCUUUUCUACGACUGUGGUUCAAUGGCGCGAUCGCUCCGACGGAGGUCGCCCUGAGAACCCUUCCGGGAUGGGUGCACUUCCUUGAUCCCCCUUUGGGCGUCGCGACCGGUUUGGAGGUCGUCGUGAGGUGGGGCACGAAAGGUGGCCGCUUGUGGUGUUAUAUGACCCCCUCUGGGCGGACCGACAGACCGGGGUUUAACGCUCCCUUCCAAAAGGCACCGUUCCCUCGCUGGAUACUUGCCCAGGUUCAACGCACAGCGUGGCUUGGGCUUUGUGAUGGCUUGAGUACUGACGGGUUGCCACGCGGAGCAGGGGGUCGCGGCGAGUAGGUCGGUUUCCCACCCGACCCGUCUUGAAACACGGACCAAGGAGUCUAACGCGUGUGCGAGUUCCCGGGACUUGACCAGGCCCGCGGGCGCAAUGAAAGWGAAGGUUGGCUUCGGCCUCCGAGUUGGGAUCCUCUUUCCUCCGGGGUGAGGCGCACCAACGGCCCGUCCGACGCCGUUUUCGGCGGGGCGGAGCAGGAGCAUACGCUCUGGGACCCGAAAGAUGGUGAACUAUGCCUGRVCAGGAUGAAGCCAGAGGAAACUCUGGUGGAGGUCCGCAGCGAUUCUGACGUGCAAAUC
RNAcentral lists this ribosomal RNA (943 nucleotides) under Xorilbia gracilis. RNAcentral describes it as "LSU rRNA". It matches the Rfam family "Eukaryotic large subunit ribosomal RNA", at positions 151 to 899 of the family's 3401-position model. The record is from RNAcentral. Lineage: Eukaryota; Metazoa; Arthropoda; Arachnida; Pseudoscorpiones; Ideoroncidae.